CAAAAAUUGUGCGUCACGUACAUACAGACAUACGGAGAUGAAUGCAAUAUAGGUAUAUGUGUUACAGUAAGAACCCGAAAUCCGUCCAAAUUAGUUUUGACUAGUCAAAACUAGUUGUCACAAACCCCAUUCGCCAAAACUAGGUUUUACUGGUGAAUUCUAGAAUUAACUAGGACCCUCACCGCCGUAACUAGUUCUAACUAUUUUUUUUCCAGUUAAAACUAGGUUUGACUGAAAUUUAUUGGUGAAAACUAGAAUUACUUGGUGAAAAGUGGUUUUGUAGGAUUAAUUUCUUUCGUUAGUUAAAACUAGUAUUAACUAGUGAAAAGUAGAAGUAAGUUGAAUUCGGAUAAUAAUAGACCAUUUAUUAUUCUGUCCAAGUUUUGUGCUGUUAAAUUCACUGUGUAAAAUUGGUUUCGUAACCAGGCCCUUUUUUCCAAGUUUUUUCUUCUUUUGGCAUAUUUCGUACAGUGCUAAAAAAAUAUGGAUCAUGUUGGUCGUGACAUUUGCAAACUUGCGAGACGUUUCAAGCCGCAAUCGGUCUCUUCCACCAUGCCCCACUGCGAUGUGCGCCGAUUCAAUAACAUCGAAAAUUUCUUCCAUUGCUAAGUUCCGGGCCGUCGAUUUUGAGCGGCGGUCUUAAAUUUGUGCGGGGUAAGAUAAAACAAAGGACAUAUACGGAUGCCCAGUGCGUGGAAUAUUGUAAGGAACAGAAUGGAUUCUUCUUCAAUACCAACAAGAAUGAAUACGAACUCGUCAGCACCUUCGGCAGAGCCUUCGCCUACGGAGUAACAUGUUCUUGCAACGUAUCGAACAAUUUCAAACAAUUUAUCAUAAACGAAUUCAACGACGAAACGGUUGCGGAGAAUUUCGUGAGUUGGUGGCGUCGGGGUUUCCGCGGAAAAAACGCGAAGAGCAGGUUGAACGAAUUGGCCAAGAAACAGGGACUCACAGCCAUCGAGUUUCUUACGUCCGGGGAGUUAGGAACGUCCAAGUUGAGAAGGCAAAGGUCGAACGAAAGGAAAGCCGGACUUUCGAAACAAGCGUCGCUAACGAGACGUUUAGAUGUUCUCACGACUGAGCUCGACGAGUCGCGCGCAGAGGUCUCACGGCUCACGGAUCAGCUGAUUCAAAAAAACGAAGAGAUCGCGAGAAUCUACGCGGAAGGAACAGACAAAAUUGUGGAGAUCGACAAACUGAAGGGCGAAAUGCAGAACAAAAAGGACUUAUUUGAGAAGAAUGAACAAGCUAUGGCUAAAUUGCAGGAGCAAUUUGAUAACAUCAAUGGACAAUACAAACAGAAACUCCAGGAAUAUGAUAAUCUUUCUGAGACACUAUCAACGUCUCAGCAAGAACUAUUAAGAGUCCAGGACAAGUUGAAAAAUACGGAGCAAACGUUGCAGACGUCCACAGUUGAGGCUGCUACAUUGAGAGCGGAAGUUGAAAAAUGGAAGGCUGAGGCGAACAAAACGUUCUUUAAACGUAUGUGCGGACCGUGCUUCGGUGGAGGAGCUACAAAGAGUCCAACCAGAAAACAAAAAAAUAGUACCACUGUCAAGAAAUAGGAGAGAAAACGGUAAAAUAAAGAAAUCGAUAAACACUGUAAAUCAUUCCACGCGCCAUCGAUCCCGGAGGUUGUUUCAAAAAACUGUCGUGCCCCCUGCCCCCCCCCCGCGUAUUUCCGCGAGAGGAUUUGGUUCAGAUUUGGACGAAUUUUCCAACCAGAUCGGUAGGGUUGCAACUAGAGUGCCAAAAUCGGGAGAGUACGCCAACACGGGCUAGCUAGUAAUUUUGAGGUUAGGUCAUGGAGUUUGUAGGGCCAAAAAGGCAGCCAACCAGUGAAUUCAAAUUAUCCAGAGUGUUUGAUCAUUGCGGUUGAUACGACCCGUCGUUUAUAAAGCACGUAUUUGACUAAGUUUUUUCAUAAAUUCACACUGAAAAAAAAAAAAAAAAAAAAAAAAAAAAAACUCCGGCCGUGGGAGCAGAACUCACGGGCUACAUGGACAUACCGUCCGCGUUCCGGGCGUAGCACAUGGAGCAAUCGAAACUACGGCUCCAGCACCCGGAACUUUCGGCCUGUGUGCCCGGAACGGACGGUACGUCUAUGUAGCCCGUACCUUUUUUUCAGAGCACUCAUUUUGCGAGAGAACGCCCUUGAAAGCACAUUCCUGGCCAUUCUGGUUUGAUAUUUGAAUCUAAAGAUUGGCGAUGACAUUUUUGCGUUCGAAGGUUGGCUGCCCUCUUAACAUUGGCGGAUCCAUCAAUUUGGCAACACCGGAUUUCCUCCAUUUAAACCUAUGAAAAUGUAUCGAUUUUUGGAGGGGCCAGGUGCUCCGACAAGAAUCGAUUAUUUAGCACAGGUUUAAAUAGAGGAAAUUCAGUGUUGCCAAAUUGCUGGAUUCCCUUCUGCCUCUAAGCGCUAAGAGCUCCAUAUUUCGACGUGUCCUUACUCUCUAUUAUAUGACCUUGUCCCAGGGAAAAAUCUCACUCGCUAAGUUGGGAAAAAUAUUGAGUCUGUCGAUACAAAUGACAGUCCCAAGCAGAGUCCUUGGAGUUUUAAGAGAGACUCGGAGAGAAGGAGGAGAAAUUUUGUUGUUUUGUUGAACGGGGAAAUAGCCCAGAAGUUGCAUUCCUGCGAUUGAGAUGGUGAUAGAUGCUCCGCAGCCCGUGACAAGAUAUACAUUCCAAAAAAAAAUAGAGCGGGCAACAAGGCUAAAAGUUCACACACAAGACAAAAGCGUUUCGGCUGAAAGUUCAGCCAUCCUCAGUUGGAUAAAUAAAAAUAAAAAUUGUUAAAAAACGAAAAUAGCACCUGACUGCAUAGAGAAAAUACAGAAGGUGGUGGCAAGCGGAGAGAUGUACUUUUCUACGUCACAGCUAAAAAUGAAGCCGCCCUUCUGGUUGGUCAAUAGGAUCGCGGGAAAACCGAGACCUCUUUGAAAUAUUUAAAGGAGCGGAAAAGGUUGUGAGGUUCCCACUUAUUUUUGCUCUAAAAUCUCUUGACUAUGACUUUUUAUGUUUCAAUAUGUUUCUCUAUCAAUGUUCGACUGUAACUGAAAAUAAUUUGUAAGUUAAAAAUAUAUAUCCAUUUCAUAUAAUAACAACUUUGAUCUCGACUCGUCCUGUUUUGAAGGUUUAACCAUGUUGCGUCAAAAAAGCAGAAAUUGGAGAGUCAUGGUUACUAAUGUUCAAUUAUAUGACUUUCAAUGUUAGUUUGAGUGGUGAUGUAGGUCUUCAUACAGGUUCCAUCAUGAAAUGUACUUUUUUUUGAACAGCGCGCCAGUCCGCGUACUUUUCUACGUCACAGCAAAUCUUCAAGAUGGCUGCCUUGCCACCACCUUCUGUAUUUUCUCUAUGACCUGACUGUACCUUUCAAAUAGAGAAUGUUUAUAUGACCUACAUGACAACAACAGGUUGUCCCAGGGAAAUAUAGAGAAUGUUGAUAUGACCUACAUAACAACAACAGGUCAUAACAACAUUCUCUAUUUGAAAGGUACUAUUUUAGUUUUUUAACCAUUUUUAUUUUUGACCAUCCAACUGAGGAUGGCUGAAUUUUCAGCCGAAACGUUUUGGUCUUGUGUGUAAACUUCUAGCCUUGUUACCCGCUCUAUUUGAAAUAGUAAUUUUUUGUAUUCCUGCGAUUCGAACUUGGGAUAAACCCCAUGAAAUGGCCAUUUCAUGGGGGAAAGGCAUUUCGGUGCUCUAGUUGCAACGCAAAGGAGGAGAACUCUGUGCUAAAGUCAAGAACGGAACUCACAAUCAGGCCCAUGAUACAUUUUGGCCGACGCACGGUGGAUCGAGUCGAUCAGAGAGGCUGGACAUGAAAUUAUUGACUAAAACCGCAAGUUUCGAUGUUUAAAACGUCAAAUGUUAAAUUUUGAGGGGGGCUUGCAAAUGAAAAUUUCACAAAAAAACCAAUGGAACCACAUUUAAAUACCUCAAAGUUUUGUAUGAACUGAGUUGUGAGCUUUUAAAGUUUCCACAUUUUGUCCGGCCUCUCCUAUUGACUCGAUCCACUGUGCGACCAGUGGCGUGGCGUGAAUUGCGAUAUAUCGAUUGUUAUGCCAUUUAAACCUAUGAAAAAAGAUCGAUUAUCAGGGUGUUCGCAGCGAACACCUUAGUAAUCGAUUCUUUACCAUAGCUUCAAAUGGCGAGAUAUCGUUAAUCGAUUAUUCACGCCACGCCACUGUGUGCGACGCUUGCAUCCGCCCACUCUUCGACCCACCUCGGGUGGUGAGAUUUUAGAUGUGGCCGUCAUUGCUGCCAGCAUAAAAACCGAAUGUUGGAGGCGCAACGCACUGUCGUCCGGAGAGAAUUUUUGUUUUGUUGUGAAGAAGGUUGGCAGCAGUGUUCGAAACUCACCUUUGAGUUUAAGGAGCCAUGUGGCGCAUCAAGCCCGAUUUUAAGGCGCCAUUGAAGGUUUUGUAGGGGCCAAAUUGACUUUUAGCCCAUGUAUUACGGCGUAUUUAGUGAAAAGUUAGAUGUAAAAUGUUUCCGUAACAGAACUAGUUAAGUAGCUGUAACUUGGGAAGACAAAAGCACUAAGAAUGAAAUCGUGAAGAAUAGAAAGAGCAAGCUUUCACUUGUAGUGCUGAAAAUUCUGAGUUUUUUUCAAUUCAAAAAGAUUUGGUUUUCAUUCUUUAUGUGACUUUCUGUGAAAAUCCAGAUUUUGAGGGGGCGAUUUUGAGGGGCCACUUUGGCGCAGAGCCUUAUUCAUUUUUUAGGCGCAUUUGGCGCGUUGGCGCCUGUGAGUUUCGAACAAUGGUUGGCAGUAAGUUAAAAACUUCAACCAAAUCCAGGCGGAAAUUCGACUUGGAUUUUAGACGAAACUUUGUUCAGGUGUUGUACUAAACGUUUCCUAUACGCCUGGGCAAGAUUGAAGUCCUUACAUAGGGAGAGUUGGGACACGUCGAAUCACGAAUGUAACAAGCGGGAAUAAAGAUUACACAGUUUGAACGUUUUUUCGUAAUCUUUGAUCGAUUCAUACCUGAAUUUCUACCCUACGCUCCUUCUCUCAUUCUGUUUGUUCCCCGACGUGCUCUCAAUUUCCCAGUCAAUUCCAGUUCAUAAACUUCGCAAUCGGUAAAAAGUAAUCUUUGUUCCCGUUUGAUGUACUGUGCAGGCCUAAAAUACUAGAGCCAAUCGGAAAUCGAUUUCUUACGUCUUAACCCUCAAUAUGAAGGGAUUGUAGGCAACCCUCUCGUAAUAUUAAGAGGAGGGGGGGGGAAGUUCUCAUUUUUGCAAAACUUAACAAAUCUAUAUCUCAGUAAGGGUUGCGGGAGGGGAUUGCAAUUUACUUUAGAAAACAUCGAAAAACAUUUUAACGAAAAAAAAAGAAAAAAAUCCAGGCGAGCAAAGUUUACGGAUGCACGAUGUACAUACAACUUUUGAAAUUUUUCACUGCCAAGAUUUCUCUAUCUUCGGAAUUAGCUAAUUUUAAAUGGCAACCUCAUAUUAGGCUUAAUUAAACUGACGCACAGUGGAAAGAGUCAAUAGAAGAGUUCGACAUGCAUUUCUGGACUAAAACUGAAAACUUUAAUGUUUAUUUCGUAAAAUUUUGAAUUUUAAGAGGCGUUUCCAGUAGGAAAUUUCACGAAAAAACAAUGGCACCACUUUUAAAACAUCAACAAUUCGUGUUGAAGAAGACAUACGCUUUUCAAGCUUUUAAAUGGACUACGUUUCGCAAUUCCGACUUCUAGACUUUUAGAAACAAUUUAUGUAACAUUAGUUUCCCUAUGCACAUAAGUGUUUUUACAGAUGCUCCAGAAAUUAUACUUCCGAAUUGCAGAAUGUGGUCCAUAUCAUUUCCGACGUCUCUCGUUGACUCGAUCCACGUUGAUUGUGUUCAUUCAUCAUGAUAUUCCACUCUAACAGUUAGAAGACUCUGUCAGUUGAUACACAGGGUGAGCCAGAGGUGUCACACCACCCUUUUAACCAUUAGGCUUCUUGCUCCUUUUUAGGGUUGUUCCUUGAACGUUUUAGGCGUUCCCAGAAUUCUUUCCCUUUAACCCAAGAGCACUCACUAAUUUUUUUUUUUUUUUUUUUUAAAGAUUUAUUUUAUUGUAAGCUUCCAAUACAGGAAAUAUUUACAAUUAGCUAGAAUUGUAAGUAAUGCAUGUAGAAGUAACAACAGUAUAAUUACUUAAUAUCAUAAGAGUUGAGAAAGAAAGUGGUAAAAUAAUUGACAAGCUACAGUCAGUCGAUUAUACAAUUUUAAAUAUUUAUAGUUUAGGACUCGGAAUCAGUAAAGACAUUCAUAAAGAUUCAAUGGAUUAAUGAGUGAGUUUCAGAUGAGAUGAGUUGACGUAAAUGAUUUGAUCCUAGAAUAGUUCACUAAAUUAGAGUAAUUUAUCUCAAUCUGUUCAAAAGUAACAAGGGUG
RNAcentral lists this long non-coding RNA (6380 nucleotides) under Bemisia tabaci. RNAcentral describes it as "lncRNA ENSASIAIIG000504". Lineage: Eukaryota; Metazoa; Arthropoda; Insecta; Hemiptera; Aleyrodidae. The record is from RNAcentral.